This 445-nucleotide ribosomal RNA is filed under the name uncultured bacterium. RNAcentral describes it as "partial 16S ribosomal RNA". It matches the Rfam family "Bacterial small subunit ribosomal RNA", at positions 354 to 796 of the family's 1533-position model. The record is from RNAcentral.
GUGAGGAAUAUUGCGCAAUGGAGGCAACUCUGACGCAGCCAUGCCGCGUGCAGGAAGAAGGCGCUACGCGUUGUAAACUGCUUUUAACCGGGAAGAAACCCCAGGACGUGUCCUGGGUUGACGGUACCGGAGGAAUAAGCACCGGCUAACUUCGUGCCAGCAGCCGCGGUAAUACGAAGGGUGCAAGCGUUAUCCGGAUUCAUUGAGUUUAAAGGGUGCGUAGGCGGAGCGUUAAGUCAGUGGUGAAAUCCUGCAGCUUAACUGUAGACUUGCCAUUGAUACUGGCGCUCUUGAGUGCGCUUGAAGUGGGCGGAAUGUGCCGUGUAGCGGUGAAAUGCUUAGAUAUGGCACAGAACACCAAUUGCGAAGGCAGCUCACUAAGGCGAUACUGACGCUGAGGCACGAAAGCGUGGGGAUCGAACAGGAUUAGAUACCCGAGUAGUCC